UACUGGGAGGAAAGAAAAAGAGAAAAUGAAAGCCAGUGAGUCAGUUCUGAGAUGGUGAGCAGAACAAAUGUCGCCUGUGUAACCUGCCUCUCUCCUAUAGGUGCGAUCCUGAGGAGUUGUAUAUAAGAAAUUAACUCAUACGUCACCCAGAAGAGCCAUGUGAUCUUCAGUUUGCAUUGUGGACAUUUCCUCAGACCCACUUGGUUUGACUGGGAGAAGAGCAUUCCCAAAAGAUUUUUUACAGACAUUACUGCAUUUCAUUGGGGAUACGGAGCUUCACACAUGGAG
Myotis davidii is the source of this 288-nucleotide long non-coding RNA. RefSeq lists it as uncharacterized. NCBI's taxonomy places the organism in Eukaryota, Metazoa, Chordata, Mammalia, Chiroptera, Vespertilionidae. The record is from RefSeq and is a predicted model, not a curated record. The transcript is spliced from 4 exons.